GAUGAACGCUGGCGGCGUGCCUAAUACAUGCAAGUCGAGCGAACAGAUAAGGAGCUUGCUCCUUUGACGUUAGCGGCGGACGGGUGAGUAACACGUGGGUAACCUACCUAUAAGACUGGGAUAACUUCGGGAAACCGGAGCUAAUACCGGAUAACAUUUGGAACCGCAUGGUUCUAAAGUGAAAGAUGGUUUUGCUAUCACUUAUAGAUGGACCCGCGCCGUAUUAGCUAGUUGGUAAGGUAACGGCUUACCAAGGCAACGAUACGUAGCCGACCUGAGAGGGUGAUCGGCCGCACGGGAACUGAGACACGGUCCAGACUCCUACGGGAGGCAGCAGUAGGGAAUCUUCCGCAAUGGGCGAAAGCCUGACGGAGCAACGCCGCGUGAGUGAUGAAGGGUUUCGGCUCGUAAAACUCUGUUAUUAGGGAAGAACAAAUGUGUAAGUAACUGUGCACGUCUUGACGGUACCUAAUCAGAAAGCCACGGCUAACUACGUG
This 497-nucleotide ribosomal RNA is filed under the name uncultured bacterium. Its description in RNAcentral is "partial 16S ribosomal RNA". It matches the Rfam family "Bacterial small subunit ribosomal RNA", at positions 28 to 507 of the family's 1533-position model. The record is from RNAcentral.